UACGGGGGGGGCAAGCGUUGUUCGGAAUUACUGGGCGUAAAGGGCUCGUAGGCGGCCAACUAAGUCAUACGUGAAAUCCCCCGGCUUAACCGGGGAACUGCUUGGUAUACUGGGUGUCUUGAGCCACUUAGGGGCGACCGGAACAAACGGUGGAGCGGUGAAAUGCGUAGAUAUCGUUUGGAACGCCAAUGGUGAAAACAGGUCGCUGGGAGUGUGCUGACGCUGAGACACGAAAGCCAGGGGAGCGAACGGG
This 253-nucleotide ribosomal RNA is filed under the name uncultured bacterium. RNAcentral's name for it is "partial 16S ribosomal RNA". It matches the Rfam family "Bacterial small subunit ribosomal RNA", at positions 524 to 776 of the family's 1533-position model. The record is from RNAcentral.